GUCCACGCCGUAAACGAUGAAUACUAGGUGUGGGGACUGACCCCUCCGUGCCGCAGUUAACACAAUAAGUAUUCCACCUGGGGAGUACGGCCGCAAGGUUGAAACUCAAAGGAAUUGACGGGGCCCGCACAAGCAGUGGAUUAUGUGGUUUAAUUCGAAGCAACGCGAAGAACCUUACCAGGGCUUGACAUCCCACUAACGAAGUAGAGAUACAUUAGGUGCCCUUCGGGGAAAGUGGAGACAGGUGGUGCAUGGUUGUCGU
RNAcentral lists this ribosomal RNA (262 nucleotides) under uncultured bacterium. RNAcentral's name for it is "partial 16S ribosomal RNA". It matches the Rfam family "Bacterial small subunit ribosomal RNA", at positions 793 to 1055 of the family's 1533-position model. The record is from RNAcentral.